This 232-nucleotide ribosomal RNA is filed under the name uncultured bacterium. RNAcentral's name for it is "partial 16S ribosomal RNA". It matches the Rfam family "Bacterial small subunit ribosomal RNA", at positions 99 to 334 of the family's 1533-position model. The record is from RNAcentral.
CGAACGGGUGAGUAAUACAUCGGAACGUGCCCAGUAGUGGGGGAUAACCCGGCGAAAGCCGGACUAAUACCGCAUACGACCUACGGGUGAAAGCAGGGGAUCGCAAGACCUUGCGCUAUCGGAGCGGCCGAUGUCAGAUUAGCUAGUUGGUGGGGUAAAAGCCUACCAAGGCGACGAUCUGUAGCUGGUCUGAGAGGACGACCAGCCACACUGGGACUGAGACACGGCCCAG